UACACUACAAAAUUAUUAUUUCUAAUGAACCAUAAUCUAAUUUCUCCUUCUCCAUUCAUACCAAAAAAUUAUUCCUAAAAUCUGGGUUUCAGAAACCCUGAAAUCUCUUCUCAAGUUCCUCUCCUCCUUGUAUCUCUCUUCGUCUGGAGCUCGGUCUCUCUCAUCUCUCUCACCGUGGCGUCACCAUUCCUCUCUGUCUCGUCAUCGUCUUGCACAUAGUCCCGCGCCUUCGUUGCGCUCUUCGUCGCCGGCGGCAGAAGCAGCAGUUCCUGGGGCUCGUCGUCUUCGUGCUUCGAGUGUCGCCGUUAGCCUCUUUCGCGCAAUCAGAAGCUGCUUCAUGAUUUGGUGAACUAUAGAAGCUACAAAGUGAAAUAUUUAUUGAGGCUUUCAUGAAUAUUAUGGUAUCUAAUAUUUCUUGAUCUCUCUUAGUUCUUGGAUAAUCAAAGUUUUCUUGCUAGUGUCUCAAGUCGUAAUGAGAUUCAGGUACCUUCUAAGGCUACUAAAGUUUUUAAAAACUGUCUAUGAUCAGGCAUUUUCCAUCUGAGCUUUUUGACUGCUUUUUUAUUUUUCAUCUGAGCUUUCUUUAUGCUUUAUUUCUUGUCGAUUUCUUGUUUCCCUCUUAUUCUUCCCCCUUAUCGCUGUUUUAUUUACUAAUUUUCCCAUUACGUUUCUGAUAAUGGCAGAUUUGAGAUUUGGAAAGCAGGUAAAUUGCUUCUGCUUUGCAGUGGGAGUCCACUAUAACUGCUUUCUCUGUUAUUUAUGGCACCAGUUACAUGUAAAUACCUGUUCAUGUGAUUUGGAAUCAGUAGUUGCAUAUAUAUAACACUUUCUGAUAAAUAAUGCACAUAGGUUUAUUAGUUAUUCCCCACUGCUUAUGAUAUUUAGGUAUAUUGGGAGUGAGCAUGGGAUGGUAUACGUGUUGAAGUUUGACGCUAAAAGCAGAAAAAUUGAUCUAUUGCCUUAUUAUGUUCCUACAAAUGUUAUAUCUGAUAGUUUUCUAUAAUGAAGUCAGUAUAGGAAGGUGGCUCAUGAAAAGAAAAAAGAAAAAGAGAGAAGGAAAAAAAAAGCUACUAGAAUAUUUGUACUUCAUUUUGGAGGGGAAUAGAAUGACUUGUGAAGGGUGUUAGAUGAAGUUGGAAUAUCACUUGAUCAAAUUUCAGUGAUCAAGAUUCUUCAUCCGCCUUAUUCCAAUGGAAACAGGUCAUUCGAGUUCUGACUCCAGUAUAUGCUGCUAACCUUCCUUACAACCCCUUUCCUUGGAGGCUUUUCUGGAUUAUGCUAUUUUCAGCAAUGACCUAUAUUAUGCUCACAAGCCUCAAGGUUCUAAAUUCUAAUUGGCAUGAUUCUUCAGAAACAUGCCACUUGGUACAUUAAUUGAUGCGAAAGAAAGUAACUUCAUUCAUGCAGAUUAAUUUACAUGAGCCACCGAGUUACUGUACACUGCUGCUCAAGCAUUCCUUUGUGUUGUGCCUCAAGAGUGAAGGCCACAUGCUGAGAUGGAUCUGUUCAGGUGAAAUAUUAACUCUGGGAUCAUCAUAAGGACCUGCCACAUACAAGAAUAGGUUCAACCAGUUUUUUAGGUUUAACUUGAAGGAGUCUCAGAGUGAUUUCCCCUUUGAAAAUUUGUUUGUAAGAAAUAACUUAUUGAUGGCUUCCAUGCAAGUUGCCUAAAUUUUGUGUUUCUCCGGUAAAUAGUAUUGUUCCACAAUAGUUGGCACAAAAAGGAAAAUUAUGUCUGGCUACUAUAUUUUCUAUUUUCACUGUUAAGCUAUUGUAUUAACUGCAAUUAUUGA
Arachis stenosperma is the source of this 1793-nucleotide long non-coding RNA. RefSeq lists it as uncharacterized. The transcript is spliced from 3 exons. Lineage: Eukaryota; Viridiplantae; Streptophyta; Magnoliopsida; Fabales; Fabaceae. The record is from RefSeq and is a predicted model, not a curated record.